This is an RNA transcript of Pieris rapae (cabbage white), 5459 nucleotides long. It is a transcript of the gene named blood vessel epicardial substance, with no coding region annotated. The record is from RefSeq and is a predicted model, not a curated record. NCBI's taxonomy places the organism in Eukaryota, Metazoa, Arthropoda, Insecta, Lepidoptera, Pieridae. The transcript has 7 exons.
GUCAUUCUUGAUUCUGUAGUUUUCGUGUAUGAUUGUUUGCUUCACCCGUGCAAUAUUUCUGAUUUUAUUUAAAAAAACGAAAUUUCUUUAAUCAUAUCUCUAAACUUAAAUUGUUUUAAUUAAGUUUUUAUUAAUACUAAUAUUAGUUUUAGUAAAAACAGUAACGGGGUUUCCUAAAAGUGACCCGCGCUCGUUUUACUUUAAUGAAAAAAAUCAAUUCGCGCUUAUUUAAUAUCUUCAUGAGACAAACUAUUCAAUUUAUAAACUGUAUUAAAGUGUGAUAAAAUUGCGCGCAAAUGCAAAACGUCCUCGGGAAAAUAUCGAUGUGCGGUUCGGACCCGGAGCUGUGUGUUCGGUGGGACUAUGUUAUUCCUCAGUGCCUUAGCAAUCGGAGUGAUAACAAGCCUUCAGAAUGGUACGGUAGAGCUGACGGCGACGGACAGUGACAUAGCAUCAACGACGACAGAUAUGGGCUUAAUAGAGACCUCGAGGGUACCUGAUAGAGGCGAUUUUGUAAACGUGACCAUUCAAGAACGGCCCUCGAUGUGGGACUUGUAUUUGAACCACUGCCCGCGUUGGAGACCCAUAAACCAUAUAUUUUUCCAAGUAUCAAAUGUGUUCUUCUUGCUCUCAUUUUUGGCACCCCACACUCCUAGUGGCCUCAUUUGGUUACGUGUUGCCCUUAUCCUAGGGUGCACGUUCUCGGGCCUGUGGGCUUGGAGUAUAGAGUGCUAUUUGGAUGCUGUGCUGUGGAAUAGUGCUUUCAUCAUUAUUAAUUUUGUGUACUUUGCUGUUCAGUUUUAUUUGAUGAGGCCUAUCAAGUUUCACAAGGAGAUUGAAGAGGUGUACGUAGCCCUCUUCAAGCCACUUCGGGUGUCGCGGAGGCAGUUCCGACGUGUUCUGAUGUGCAUGCGCAAUGUCAGGCACCUCAAGUGUCAUGAGCUGUACGCCCAUGAGAAAGUCACAAAGGUGGACAGUCUGUCACUUGUGCUAAGUGGAAAGUUGGUAGUGUCACAGAAUCAACGCGCACUGCAUAUAGUGUUUCCGCAUCACUUCCUAGACUCACCUGAGUGGUUUGGAGUUUCCACUGACGAGUUCUUUCAGGUCUCAAUAAUGGCGAUGGAGGAAUCACGUGUGUUGGUGUGGCACCGGGACAAGUUAAAACUAUCGAUAAUGUCUGACGCGUUUCUGCAGGCUGUGUUCGACCACAUCCUUGGCAGAGACGUCGUUCACAAGCUCAUGCAGGUGAGCGAAACAAUGGCUGUCAGUAACGGCCACCUGCCGAACAGUUAUGAGGAGGGCGAGGAUAAGCCAAUGCUCAUAGUCAAGAAGGCUGGCGAUGGGCCCGGAAUAACCGCAUUGCUUAAUCGACAAUUACAAGGCGAGCACGCGCCAUUGCUCCGAGCGCCGCCUGUGCCCGAGUGCUGAACUACGUCUUAAUCCAUAUUCCCUUUCCUUAUGACUGAUUGUUUCAACUUUGAACUCUAUGCUUGUAACAUAAGGUUGUUUUUUCUAUGACCGAUUAGAAGUUGAAACAAUUUUUGUAUUGUCAAAAUUUAUCCGUCCCAUUAUAAUUAACGAAUUUAUUUUAUACGGUGUAUUUUAUUGCUCAAUUGGUAUUUUAACAUGGAAACCGCUUCAUUUGAUUUCAAUUUUGAUAUUAACAAUUAUUAAAAGUAUUAUUUAAUAAGGAAUCGGUUUCAAAAAUCUUCAAUAUAUCAGCAUUGUACUCCUGUGUCCUUAUAUCAAUUUAAUGUGAUUUAUAUGUGUACGUGUUUAUAUGCACAUUAACCCUGAGUUCCAAAAAUAUACUAAGAUUUGGGAAAAGAAAUUAACAUUUAUGGCACAAUUAGUCCACUAUAUUUGAUACUCAUUCCCUAAAAUCAUAGACAAAUUUAAAAGCAAAUUCAUUCUCUUGAUUUCGACAUGUAAGAGAGUGAGUUUGCACUCUGUCUCAUUAGAUUUAAUGUUAUAUUAUAUUUAACCAUGACAUAUUCACUAGUAUUAAAGUACAAUUAAAACGUAUUACCAGUAUUAACGCACAAUUAUUUAGUGACUUAAGUAUUUAAAGUGUAUGUACGAUUUUAUAUUAGACUGAUUAAUCUCCUUGGAAAUACAGUUGCUGCGAUCGAUGGCGCUGUACCUAAUUGGUUAAAUUUUCUGACACAAACUUACUAUUUUCUAUAUUUGUUUUAUUCUAACAUAGUUAAAGCUUCAAUUACGGCUUUAGCUAGGAAACUAAUCGGCAAAAAUUUAUUCCUCCAUAAAUAUAUGUACUAACUCCGUCUAGAUCUGUGACCCAAAAUAGAAGUCUUGGAUCCAAAAACUUACACUGCAAAUAAAAACAUAGAUAUUUCGAAAUGAAAAACAAAUGAACAAAAAACUCGUCAAUGGCGAUUAUCUUUCAAACCUUCGUUGAUUAAUCAGUCUUUAUUUGCAUGUUCAUAUCAGAGUCCCUGUGCCUGUCUUAUAUCUUGGUGUGAUUUAAGUUCAUAUAAGUAGUCUUAACUCGCACAUGUAUAUGUAUUUAUAAGUAAUUUGGGUCGAGAUAAUCACGCUUGGCUGUCAUACAACAUCCACAGUUCCCGCACUUUGGCUUUGACAUUGACAGUGACAGAUCGACUUAGUGUUACUAGAUUUCAACUUGCUUUUCAUAUGACUCAAGCAUGGUGUAUCUUGACCUACCACCAUAUAUAAUGUUACCUUAUUCAGUAUCUAGUAUCCUAGUUCCCAUACCGUUACUCCUAAGCAUGUUGAAGAAUCAAGUGAAUCAGCAACAGAUCCGAACGCAUGGCGUCUUGGCAGAAUCGAAGAGACAGACCACGAAACACCAGUCUGAGGUCACGCUUUGCACCUGGCGGUUAGACCGCGCAGGCGCGAUCAUCGCUAGGGCGUUUAAGACUUUAUGUUGAUUGACAUAAGGACGAAUUAACAAUGUCCUAAAUAUAGGUGAACCUGCAGCGCUACAAGUUUGUUUUGGCAACUCUAUUUUGAGUUACUCUUUGAGGAGUGAAGGUUUAUUUUAGCGACACUAAGCCAAUUGUCAAAAAAUCCUUGAACGACUGUCUGAAUCAAUUAUUUAAUGAUCCGAAUUUUCUGAGUUGUCAAAGCGGUACGUGUCAGCUGUCAAUAUUGACAAGUAAUAUCUGUUUUUAUUGCAUUUGGUAUCUUAGAUAAUUCGGGGAUUUUUAAAUUAAUUGCUUUAAGUACACGAUUUUCGGCUAUGUUUUGCGGUUAGCUUCAGAGUUUCUUAUCGUUUAAAAAGAAUUGAAAUACUUUUCUUAUUUCUCUGUAUUUAAUCUUUUGAACUAUAAUAAGUUUUUUCUCUAUUUGUAUAUUCAUGUUCGCUCUGGCGCAUAUUUUAGUGACAAAAAGUCGGGAGUCAAAGUUUAAAAAAAUAACUAAAAAAAAAGUUUUUGUUUCUCGUUGUUGGUAAAGAUUAUAUACAGAGAAAUAGUAGUCUUCGCGUUUGAUAAACAAAAAUAGUUUUGAACGUUAGGCAAAUGAUAUUGGCUAGAUGUGCUUGAAUUUGUGAUUGGAACGGAUCUCUGUAGUUGUAUUGUAAUAAAUUAAGACGAUAUCGCGAAGUUUAACAAUGAAACCCGGAUACAGCGCAUUUAAAUCAAGUAUUGUUGACACUUUUUACACAGUACAGUACGAAAGAGCCAAUAUAACGAUAUAUAUUUUGUAUGCAAUUAUUGUUUAUUGGGUAUAAUACUAUCACGUGAAUUGGUUUUUCUGUCUCUUUCGUAUUGUAUGAUGUGAUGCAGAUAGCAAUAUUUUUUAUUUUGGUGGGGUUUUUAACGUCCUUCUAAAUCUUAUUUUAAUGUAGAAACAGUGAAUGUUGUUUUAAAUGCGCAUAAUCUAUCCUGAAAGUUGUUUUUUACAAAAUUAGGAACACAUUUAAGAAUAUUAAAACAGGCAAGAGGCAUAAAUAAUUUUUCUUUUUUCAUUCUUCAUUUCAAUCACUUGACUUCUUUAAUUAUUUAAAAAUUAUAUUUCACGCUUUUAAAACCCAAAAUUUAAAUUUAGAAUUUGUUUUACAAAUAUUUUUGAAGCAUUUUAAAAAAUUUAUUUUGCCUAGAGACAUUUAUUUUCCGACUUCGCGAUCCAAAAUCGCAAUAUAUAUUUGUAAUGUCAUAAACAAAUAUUAUUUUGUGUAAACUUUUAUAAGUGACUGGACUGAUGUCGGUUGAUUGUAAAUAACUAUGUACAAAAGUAGGUUUUUGGAUGUGCUAGAAAAAUAAAAAAAUAUAUAUUGACCAGAACUCAGUUGAAGCCAUAAAUAAUAAAGCAAAUGUAGGCUCAGCAAGUGGCGAGUAAAAGCCUGAUGAAACAAUCACACUUCUCUCAUUCCUCAUAUCAAAAUAGCAACAUUAUUUUUGAAUAUUAUCUAUAAUCAUUAAAAAAAAUAUCAUUUUAACUUGAUUCAAUGUCAAACUUCAUGGAGAUUUUUUUUGACAUAUCCUAAGAAUAAUUUGAAUUUACGUUAUAUUGUAAUUGACGAGACUACCCGUACUAGGAAGUCUAUAAUUUUUUUUCAAAAAUUGUCGUAUUGUAGAAUUUGGGCCAUCUAAACAUAACUGGUACUUGGACAUUUUGAAUUAUAGUCAACGCACAAAAUUCGCAUGAUUCGUAAAUAUGUUUAUAUGUGUAUUAGAUCAGAAGAUGGAUAUUUAUUGUAGUCGGUUCUAAACUAUCUUUUAAAUUAACAUUGAAUCACAUUUCAUUCACAUUCAAAAGGGUUGAUAGAAAAUAUUUGACAUUCCUGAUUAUUUGUAUUAGCUUUAAACAAUUGUAUAAUUUAUACAGACAAGUACAAUUAUUGCCAUUACAUAAUUUUCAUAAUGAUAUUUAUUAGUUGUAUGUAACGCUAAAUUUUGUUAAAAUGACUAUUUAAUAAUAAUAUCAUACGCACUGCCAUUGCAAAUGUUUGUAGCUAAUUGAUUCAUAUGAAUAUGUUGGAUCUUGGUGUGUGAAUAACAAUUACCAUUUAACUAAUUGGUUACUUAUCAAUUGUUCAAGAAUUGAAAUGAAAAAAAAGAUGAUAAUAUUGUGAAGGUCAAACACUUUUUGCAAAAGGCUCUUGCUUUUGUUAUUACAAUAUAUUAAUUAUUAAACUAUCUGUUUAAAUAAAUAUUUUGUAUGAAAUUAUAUUUGAACAUGAAUUUAUCUUGGAAACUUUCAGCUCUUGAAUCGUUGAACAACAAAUAUAUACUAGAUGUACUAAUUAAAGGUAAAGGUUUAUAAAUUGAAAGAUUUUAAUUCUGAAAGUACAUUGAAUUGAAUGAAUAAAGAUUUAAAAAAAUUGAUAAUGUAACCUUGGUGAUUGUUCACUUCUAGAAUGCCUUAAAAAGUUGCCAUGUGUGAUAAUGUAAAUUAUGUGUGGUUGGUCAUUUGAAUCAUUGUAGCAUAUGUUAAUAAGAUAGAAAAUUAAAUUACCUUAUGAAUUGUGUAAA